UGUAGACUAAAGUCUCUCUGCUCGGAUCCAUUUUAGGUUCCAAGGAUUUGGGCUCCAUGGCCUCAACUUCAUCCGCCACAGGGUUUGGGUUUAGGUUCGGCUUGCCGAGCUCCAUUGCUCGGUCUUUCGACCAUCAGUACAGCGAUUUUUAUGCUUAGGGGAUUUGGGCUCGGAGGGUCUUUCCGAGCCUAGACUAGAAUUCAACCGAGCCCUAAGGCGGUCAC
RNAcentral lists this long non-coding RNA (224 nucleotides) under Phoenix dactylifera (date palm). RNAcentral's name for it is "long non-coding RNA (PDAC_LNC017107)". The record is from RNAcentral. Lineage: Eukaryota; Viridiplantae; Streptophyta; Magnoliopsida; Arecales; Arecaceae.